GGAAAAAUUGUUCUUCAUACAAUGACAGACAGUAGCCAUAAACACCUUCGGGGGAAAAUGGUGAAGCAUGUAUGUGACUGGAAAAUUCGU
RNAcentral lists this non-coding RNA (90 nucleotides) under uncultured Nitzschia. Lineage: Eukaryota; Bacillariophyta; Bacillariophyceae; Bacillariales; Bacillariaceae. The record is from RNAcentral.